Molecule: ribosomal RNA, 750 nt
Filed under: uncultured bacterium
Lineage: Bacteria
Description: bacterial SSU rRNA
Rfam family: Bacterial small subunit ribosomal RNA
Source: RNAcentral
CAGGCCUAACACAUGCAAGUCGUACGGUAAGGCCCUUUCGGGGGUACACGAGUGGCGAACGGGUGAGUAACACGUGAGUAACCUGCCCACAACUUUGGGAUAACGCUAGGAAACUGGUGCUAAUACUGGAUAUGUGCUCCUGCUGCAUGGUGGGGGUUGGAAAGCUCCGGCGGUUGUGGAUGGACUCGCGGCCUAUCAGCUUGUUGGUGGGGUAGUGGCCUACCAAGGCGGCGACGGGUAGCCGGCCUGAGAGGGUGACCGGCCACAUUGGGACUGAGAUACGGCCCAGACUCCUACGGGAGGCAGCAGUGGGGAAUAUUGCACAAUGGGCGCAAGCCUGAUGCAGCAACGCCGCGUGCGGGAUGACGGCCUUCGGGUUGUAAACCGCUUUCAGCAGGGACGAAGCUUUUUGUGACGGUACCUGCAGGAGAAGCACCGGCUAACUACGUGCCAGCAGCCGCGGUGAUACGUAGGGUGCGAGCGUUGUCCGGAUUUAUUGGGCGUAAAGGGCUCGUAGGCGGUUGAUCGCGUCGGAAGUGGAAACUUGAUGCUUAACGUUGAGCGUGCUUUCGAUACGGGUUGACUUGAGGAAGGUAGGGGAGAAUGGAAUUCCUGGUGGAGCGGUGGAAUGCGCAGAUAUCAGGAGGAACACCAGUGGCGAAGGCGGUUCUCUGGACCUUUCCUGACGCUGAGGAGCGAAAGCGUGGGGAGCGAACAGGCUUAGAUACCCUGGUAGUCCACGCUGUAAAC